AGAGAGGGGGAAGAAUUGUGUGAUUUUCUACUUAAAUGCUCAUUGAUUUCACUAAUUAAAGUGAGUAAUUAGAGUGAUUGACUUAAUUAAACAUCAAGAGGGGGUUGAUUUUAAGGUGGUGAGUGCAUUGAAAGAAGGAUUUCAAGCUAGGGUUUGAAGAGGGAGAAGAAGAAAACUUGUUCUUUCUUGCAUUCUUUCCUUAAAUCCUUAUCAAAGUGAGGUAAAUAACAUGUUCUAAAUGAUUAAUUCCUUUAAUUUUAUGUUUGAUGAAGGAUUAUGCAAAAUGAUGAUUAUGUGAAGUUAUGGAUUUAUGUUAUAAUUUAUAGGAAUAAUGCAAAUUAUGUUUGAACCAUGUUAGAAAGCAUGAAUUAUGAUUGGGUAAGUGUUUAAUUUUAAAUAAAAGAAACAAAAAUUAAUUUUCCCCAUUUUAAUUGAAUAUUUGGCCAAGAGACGAAUAAUUUAGGGGAUUUGAGGUUUAAUACAAUUGUUUAGAAUAUAUGGGAAGAUGAAAGUUUAUAAGUAUUGUUAUAUGAAUGGAGUAGGAAUUUUUCAAGGAGAAAAGAAAAAUAUUCACUUCCUUCCCUAGGUUGUUUUUGGCUAAAUGGAGAAGAAAAUUAGAGAAUGGAGUUUAAAUGAUAUUAUUGAGGAGUUUUUGGCUAAAUGGAGAAGAAAAUUAGAGAAUGGAGUUUAAAUGAUAUUAUUGAGGAGUUUUUGGCUAAAUGGAGAAGAAAAAUUAGAGAAUGGAGUUUAAAUAAUAUUACUGAGGAACCUUACUAAAUUUAAGACAAUUGAUAUUGAUAGGUUAAAUUGAAUAGAGACUUUUGUGGAAAUAAUGCCCUGGUGAAUGGGCAGGCCUUGAAAAAUUAUUUCCUGGUUACUGGAAAUAAUACCCUGGUGAAUGGGUAGUUACUGGAAAUAAUACCCUGGUGAAUGGGUAGUUACUAGAAAUAAUGCCCUGGUGAAUGAGCGAGCCUUGAAGAUCAUUUCCUGAUUAUUGAAAUUUAUGCCUGGUAGAAUGACCACGUUAAGAAAAAUUAAUUUGUCAAAUUAAUGGGAUAAUCACUCGAUGUAAAAUAAAUCAUAAAACUUUGAAGUUAAAUAUGCUGGGUUGUGGGAGACACUCUUGAUAUUUUUUAUUUUAGUAGAUUUAUCCCUGUCUAGAAGAGAAUUUAUGAAAUUAGAAAUUUCAAAAAGAAAAUAAGACAAUCAAUUCUAUGAUAUGAAAAUCACCUUUAUGUAUAUAAAUAAUUAAUCCUUAAUCAGUUACUCAUUGAAUUGUGCAAUUUUUUUAAUCAUGUUUAAUGCAAUUAUGUUUUUAGGUACAUCGCACCCUCGAUCUGGGAAGUAGAUGCUCGGAUA
This 1359-nucleotide long non-coding RNA is filed under the name Populus tremula. RNAcentral describes it as "long non-coding RNA (PTRE_LNC000488)". Lineage: Eukaryota; Viridiplantae; Streptophyta; Magnoliopsida; Malpighiales; Salicaceae. The record is from RNAcentral.